Molecule: ribosomal RNA, 254 nt
Filed under: uncultured Fusobacterium sp.
Lineage: Bacteria; Fusobacteriati; Fusobacteriota; Fusobacteriia; Fusobacteriales; Fusobacteriaceae
Description: partial 16S ribosomal RNA
Rfam family: Bacterial small subunit ribosomal RNA
Source: RNAcentral
CGGGUGAGUAACGCGUAAAGAACUUGCCUCAUAGUCUGGGACAACAUUUGGAAACGGAUGCUAAUACCGGAUAUUAUGCUUUCUUCGCAUGGAGGAAGUAUGAAAGCUAUAUGCGCUAUGAGAGAGCUUUGCGUCCCAUUAGCUAGUUGGUGAGGUAACGGCCCACCAAGGCGAUGAUGGGUAGCCGGCCUGAGAGGGUGAACGGCCACAAGGGGACUGAGACACGGCCCUUACUCCUACGGGAGGCAGCAGUA